GGUCAAGUUCAUUCUACAUGGUGUUCAGAGACAGCUAAGUAAGGAAGCUACCGUGGACACCGUGUGUGGAUUUCAGCAGUCAGUAACAGAGAAUGCUUUCCCAACAUUCAAUCUUCUAGGUAAGCUUAAGUAAGACCACUGUGUCCACAAAGUCAACUAGAGUGCAAAUCCAGAGAAUGAAUUGAGGUAGUUAUCACAGGGGAGAGAGAAAAGGAGACGUUUUAAAAGACAUGGCAGUCACAUAAGGCAAGGAUAAACAUUUAUGUAGAUCUGUUUGCUUGUCAACUUUGUAAAAAAAAAAAAAAAAAAAACUAAAGCAAACCAAUCAAAGUGAUGUGAGUAGCGAUGUCAGCUCGGCAUGGUGGAGCUCUUGGAAUAGAAGUGAUCGUAGCUGUAGCUUUGCUCUUCUUCUGCUCUAGCACAUUCCUUUCUCCUGAAGGACCAACGUCUGGCUCUCUUGCCAGUUCUUGGGGGAUGGUGAGUAUUGGAUGUUUUCGUCUGAGUUCCUGUCACGAGUAAUUCUGGAAGCUGCUAAGACAAGAAUGCUACAUUCCAUGAAUCUUUGAAUGUUUGGCUAUAGGGUGAGUGUUCCUGGUUGAGAAAAUAUUGCUAAACUUGAGAAUUCCAAGACUCAGGAUCAGGUGACUUAAAAGUACAUUCACCAGCUUAGGAGCGUAAAGGUACUAGAGAUUAAGAUGUUGUCUUUCCCUUCCCAAAUUUCUUUCUAAUCCUCCUACCCCCCAGCCCUUUCCCCACUCUCGCCUCUUUUAAACAUGGACAGUGUACUAUCCUUCUCUCCCUCUCUGAUUUACUACCACGUAUUUUAAACCACCAAUGCAUUUUAUACCUUUCUUAAUGUUCAUACUCAAUCACGUACUUCUAUUUUUGUAAAUAUUUCCGUUUUGCUUAUGCACAUUUUCCUUUGGCUCCCUCAAUAGAUAAGCUGGUCCAUUUAUAGUUGCUUUGUUUAUUUUUUGUUUUUGUUUUUUUUUUUUUUUUUCAUUUUGAAUCCAAUCAGACCUUCCUCUUGAAGGAAUUCAUUUCAGAGCUUGCUGAAAAGUCUCAUCAUAACGCAGGUAACAAUGACUUAACUGAAUUGAUUUACGCAUUCAAUUCAAUCCACAAACACAUAAUUUAUCUGUGAUUAUAUGCUUUUUUCUAUUUAUAAAAUCAUGAACGUUUAUCUAUAUGCCUGUUUGUCUACCAGUGUGUGUUACCAUGGUUAUUUAUAUGAUCUUACAUGCUUUUUAGAAAAGGAGAUUGUAAUCCGCUGGGAAGGAAAGACAAAGAAAGUUAGAUUUGCGUUGUUCUGUAAAGGUCAUUAGGCUUCCGGGUUGUUGUUUUGUUUUGUUUUGUUUUCCUUUUGGAUCAGUGAAAAAGUGAAAUUCCAGGCCCCGGGUCUUCCUGAGAGCUGGUUUAAUUUUGUUUUUGUUUUUAAAGGUUAUAUUUGCAGAAUUUCCACAUUGUUCUGAGCUGCUGGGAAAAGAUAGUCACAGAUAUAUUUUUUCAUGUUUCUUAGGGAUUUUUCACCUCAGAUUUCCUCGGAUGUUGUCAACUAGAGUACAAUUGUCUGGGUUUUGAAUGGAUAAUGAAAUGGCAUUGUAGGAGACAAGUUUUAUAGAUAGAGGAUAUAGGGAGGGAUAGAGGUUAGUAAAGUCUGACAAUAUUGAUAUUUUGGAAACUGUGUCUGUUAAUGAUUACUGAGCAUUUAAUUGGUGUAUAUGAGGCUUAACUUGUAUAAUUCCCUAAAUUUAAACACAGAGAUUUGUAUUUUCUUUUCUGUAAAAGAUAAGUGCAUUGAACAGUUACUAAGGUUUAGGAGGGCUUUCGAGGAUAGUUUCUGAGCUCUAUCAUUGUUUAUACAUCCACUAAGUAGGCAGCUACCACAUAGACAACAAGAGGACAACAUAUUGUGAGUUUACUCUUGCCUAUUUCAGGAGAAUAUUUGAGGGGACAUGAUAGUACGUUAAAAAAGAAAAAAAAAAUAAACAGAAUACUAGAAAAGGCUGAGGAAAACACAGACUCUGUGGCCACAGACUGCUAAGUCAGAUGCAGGCAUACAAAUUUCUUCAUGGACUUGACUUGAAAGUAUUCUCCUCCUCUUGGAACUGCCUAGUCCACAACGG
Molecule: long non-coding RNA, 2126 nt
Filed under: Mus musculus (house mouse)
Lineage: Eukaryota; Metazoa; Chordata; Mammalia; Rodentia; Muridae
Description: long non-coding RNA chr6:15731164-15733290
Source: RNAcentral